Non-coding RNA from Puccinia sorghi, 71 nucleotides. The record is from the annotation of a GenBank genome assembly. Lineage: Eukaryota; Fungi; Basidiomycota; Pucciniomycetes; Pucciniales; Pucciniaceae.
GUGUACUUGGCUCAAUGAUUAGAGCAUCGCUCAUGACUGCAAACGUUGUGGUACAAGUCCCACAGUUCACA